CGAACUAAACAACGGAUUCCCCUAGUAAUGGCGAAUGAAGCGGGAACAGCUCAAAUUUGAAAUCUCCGUCGCCUGCGACGGCGAAUUGUAGUUUCGAGAAGCACCUUCUCGGCGGGCCCGGAGCCGUCCAAGUUGCUUGGAACAGCACGUCAUAGAAGGGUGACAACCCCGUCUGUGGCGGAGCCGGCCGCUCACGAUGCGCUUUCGACGAGUCGGGUUGUUUGGGAAUGCAGCCCAAAAUGGGUGGUAAACUCCAUCUAAAGCUAAAUAUUGGCACGAGACCGAUAGCGAACAAGUACCGUGAGGGAAAGAUGAAAAGCACUUUGAAAAGAGAGUUAAAAAGUACGUGAAACCGUUAAAAGGGAAACGAAUGGGGUUAGCAAUGCGCUCCGCGAGAUUCAGCCGGCGGACGGGCCCGCCGGGCGGUCUGCGGAUCCGAAUGGACCGCGGCCGUCCGGUCGGGCGCUUCUGCCGUCGCACUUCUCGCGCGCGCGCGCCAACGUCGGUUGGGACUGGGUCUCAAAGGCGUCGGGAAGGGUGGGUCCGGCCCCUCGGGGCCGGACUGUUAUAGACCGGCGUUUUCCAUGGCCCGGGCCCGACCGAGGAGCCCGCGGCGCAUGCCUCUCGUGGGCUGGGGACCCGUCGCGCCGGUCGGYGGUCGACGGCGGUGGACUGCAUGCAGUGCGCCGCGACUGCUGCCGGUCGCCCGCGGCGGUGACCUCACACCAUGCGCCCAGGACGUUGGCGGUCACAUGGCCUCAUCCGACCCGUCUUGAAACACGGACCAAGGAGUCUAACAUGUGCGCGAGUCUUCGAGUGAUCGAAACUCCCAGGCAGAAUGAAAGUGAAGGCGGCCUCGGCCGCUGAGGUGAGAACCCCUCCCCCCGCGGGAGGGGCGCAUCAUCGACCGACCUAUUCUACUCUUAGGAAGGUUGAGUAAGAGCGCAUCCUGUU
This 954-nucleotide ribosomal RNA is filed under the name Urticina coriacea. RNAcentral's name for it is "eukaryotic LSU rRNA". It matches the Rfam family "Eukaryotic large subunit ribosomal RNA", at positions 56 to 810 of the family's 3401-position model. The record is from RNAcentral. Lineage: Eukaryota; Metazoa; Cnidaria; Anthozoa; Actiniaria; Actiniidae.